Molecule: ribosomal RNA, 396 nt
Filed under: uncultured bacterium
Lineage: Bacteria
Description: bacterial SSU rRNA
Rfam family: Bacterial small subunit ribosomal RNA
Source: RNAcentral
GACGAACGCUGGCGGCGUGCUUAACACAUGCAAGUCGAGCGGUAAGGCCCUUUCGGGGGUACACGAGCGGCGAACGGGUGAGUAACACGUGGGUGACCUGCCCUCAGCUCUGGGAUAAGCCUGGGAAACCGGGUCUAAUACUGGAUAUGACUCCAUGACGCAUGUUGUGGGGUGGAAAGCCUUGUGCGGCUGAGGAUGGGCCCGCGGCCUAUCAGCUUGUUGGUGGGGUGGUGGCCUACCAAGGCGACGACGGGUAGCCGGCCUGAGAGGGCGACCGGCCACACUGGGACUGAGACACGGCCCAGACUCCUACGGGAGGCAGCAGUGGGGAAUCUUGCGCAAUGGGCGAAAGCCUGACGCAGCGACGCCGCGUGAGGGAUGACGGCCUGGUGUAAC